AGCUGAGGAAAAGAAACCAACAGGGAUUGCCCUAGUAACGGCGAGUGAAGCGGCAACAGCUCAAAUUUGAAAGCUGGCCUUCGGGUCCGCAUUGUAAUUUGUAGAGGAUGCUUUGGGUGAAACGCCAGUCUAAGUUCCUUGGAACAGGACGUCAUAGAGGGUGAGAAUCCCGUAUGUGACUGGAAAUGUUAACCUAUGUAAAGCUCCUUCGACGAGUCGAGUUGUUUGGGAAUGCAGCUCUAAAUGGGAGGUAAAUUUCUUCUAAAGCUAAAUAUUGGCGAGAGACCGAUAGCGCACAAGUAGAGUGAUCGAAAGAUGAAAAGCACUUUGGAAAGAGAGUUAAAAAGCACGUGAAAUUGUUGAAAGGGAAGCGCUUGCAAUCAGACUUGUUUAAACUGUUCGGCCGGUCUUCUGACCGGUUUACUCAGUUUGGACAGGCCAGCAUCAGUUUCGGCGGCCGGAUAAAGGCUCUGGGAAUGUGGCCUUCACUUCGGUGAAGGUGUUAUAGCCCAGGGUGUAAUACGGCCAGCCGGGACUGAGGUCCGCGCUUCGGCUAGGAUGCUGGCGUAAUGGUUGUAAGCGACCCGUCUUGA
Molecule: ribosomal RNA, 593 nt
Filed under: Aureobasidium acericola (nom. inval.)
Lineage: Eukaryota; Fungi; Ascomycota; Dothideomycetes; Dothideales; Saccotheciaceae
Description: Aureobasidium sp. DHL-2020a partial large subunit ribosomal RNA
Rfam family: Eukaryotic large subunit ribosomal RNA
Source: RNAcentral